Molecule: ribosomal RNA, 467 nt
Filed under: uncultured bacterium
Lineage: Bacteria
Description: partial 16S ribosomal RNA
Rfam family: Bacterial small subunit ribosomal RNA
Source: RNAcentral
UGGGGAAUUUUGGACAAUGGGCGAAAGCCUGAUCCAGCAAUGCCGCGUGUGUGAAGAAGGCCUUCGGGUCUGAUAGCACUUUUGUCCGGAAAGAAAUCCUUGGCUCUAAUACAGUCGGGGGAUGACGGUACCGGAAGAAUAAGCACCGGCUAACUACGUGCCAGCAGCCGCGGUAAUACGUAGGGUGCAAGCGUUAAUCGGAAUUACUGGGCGUAAAGCGUGCGCAGGCGGUUUGCUAAGACCGAUGUGAAAUCCCCGGGCUCAACCUGGGAACUGCAUUGGUGACUGGCAGGCUAGAGUAUGGCAGAGGGGGGUAGAAUUCCACGUGUAGCAGUGAAAUGCGUAGAGAUGUGGAGGAAUACCGAUGGCGAAGGCAGCCCCCUGGGCCAAUACUGACGCUCAUGCACGAAAGCGUGGGGAGCAAACAGGAUUAGAUACCCUGGUAGUCCACGCCCUAAAACGAUGUC